This is a long non-coding RNA of Triticum dicoccoides, 186 nucleotides long. RefSeq lists it as uncharacterized. NCBI's taxonomy places the organism in Eukaryota, Viridiplantae, Streptophyta, Magnoliopsida, Poales, Poaceae. The transcript is spliced from 2 exons. The record is from RefSeq and is a predicted model, not a curated record.
CAGUGCACAGCUAAAAAAAUCCAAAAAACAAAUGUUUCUAUGGUCGUAAAAAAGAAUGCUGCUUAUCCUUUUCAGGAGAAAUUGAUGAGUGGUUGAAUCGAUGAUCUGCACUGAGCUGUUAACAAUCAUUUGUGCCGCGGAAUACGUUAAGGUGGCAUCUUCUCUGAGUGUCGAUGCACUCAUUGU